GACGAACGCUGGCGGCGUGCUUAACACAUGCAAGUCGAACGGAAAGGCCCUGCUUUUGUGGGGUGCUCGAGUGGCGAACGGGUGAGUAACACGUGAGUAACCUGCCCUUGACUUUGGGAUAACUUCAGGAAACUGGGGCUACUACCGGAUAGGAGCUCCUGCUGCAUGGUGGGGGUUGGAAAGUUUCGGCGGUUGGGGAUGGACUCGCGGCUUAUCAGCUUGUUGGUGGGGUAGUGGCUUACCAAGGCUUUGACGGGUAGCCGGCCUGAGAGGGUGACCGGCCACAUUGGGACUGAGAUACGGACCAGACUCCUACGGGAGGCAGCAGUGGGGAAUAUUGCACAAUGGGCGGAAGCCUGAUGCAGCAACGCCGCGGGCGGGAUGACGGCCUUCGGGUUGUAAACCGCUUUCGCCUGUGACGAAGCGUGAGUGACGGUAAUGGGUAAAGAAGCACCGGCUAACUACGUG
This 468-nucleotide ribosomal RNA is filed under the name uncultured bacterium. RNAcentral's name for it is "partial 16S ribosomal RNA". It matches the Rfam family "Bacterial small subunit ribosomal RNA", at positions 28 to 507 of the family's 1533-position model. The record is from RNAcentral.